Molecule: long non-coding RNA, 972 nt
Organism: Daphnia pulicaria
Lineage: Eukaryota; Metazoa; Arthropoda; Branchiopoda; Diplostraca; Daphniidae
Exons: 3
Source: RefSeq, a predicted model, not a curated record
GACUCAGAAACGGACUCGAUUGUGCACGAACCCAACGCCGCUCAACGGCGGCCGCACCUGUCCAGGUUUCAACUUCCAGAAAGGCGAUUGUACCUCCAUCUGUCCAGUAGUGGACGGUCGAUGGAACGCCUGGUCCAGUUGGUCCCAACUGCGGGCUGAUCUUGCAAACACCAUCGUCGCCGUUCGUGCACCAGCAGCCCUUCAUCUUCCUACGGAGGACAAUAUUGGGUCGGCCGUGACUUGCAGCGGGAGGAGUUCGUGCCGACCAUCUCGACAGCUUAGACGAGGAUUCAUCAACAUCAAUCAAUUUGCUGGAUUCUUCCUUUUUCGGCUCGACGGACACGCCAUUCUUCUGCCAGGACGUCCGGCGGCGGCAUCCGGGAAUUGAGCGUUCGAUUCGAUUGCGAUUCAGCGUCGACUGGGAGGGUAAACGGACUCCAUUGAUCAACAGAGCUCUUAUUCUCGACAACACUCCUCCCGAUUCGAUUCCUGUUCAAAAAAUAGGAGAAGAAUCAAACAUCGUCCAAGAUGAAGGUAAAAGUUUCGCCACUCCUGCAAAUGAGAAGAAAUGUCAAGAAUAGAGAAUAGUCCGAUGUCUAAUUCAUGGCAUUACCUUCGUUCACCACCGCCAAAUCGACCGGAAACCGGAGUUCAUCGGGUUUGAAAAUCAGAAUUUCUCUGCACGUAGAAAUGGACGGGUGCCGAAUCGACGUCGACGUAUCCGAUCCAUUUCUGUUUAGUCUGUUAAACAAAAAUGAUUUAGAUCAAACAAUGACAAUUGAAAGAAAAACAUGUCGUACCAUUUUGAUUGGGAUAGAAUUCACAGUAAACGGUUUCCAUCUUCUUCAAUCCCUUGACGGAAUAAAAUCCGCUCAGUUUGUGUCCCAUUCUCUGCAGAUCUUCACACGAGGUCGGAGUGACAGUCAAUUCUGCGUGUUCCAUCAUUUUGAUUGGCGCCGACAGUUCAGCGGU